Sus scrofa (pig) is the source of this 268-nucleotide non-coding RNA. The record is from RefSeq and is a predicted model, not a curated record. NCBI's taxonomy places the organism in Eukaryota, Metazoa, Chordata, Mammalia, Artiodactyla, Suidae.
GCUGCAGUGGGGCAGAAGUUCACCAAAAUCAUUGGAAAGUUCGGAAUCCAGUGACCAUGGGAAGAAGCCUGGACCAGUCUCCUGUACACACUUAAUCCAGCUGGCAAUGGCCUCUACCACUGAUAUGGACCAUCAAGGCCCAGCCAAGCUGCCAGAUGAUCCAAUCCACAGGAGUAAAUCCAUGAAAAACCAGAAGGAAAACCGCCCAGCCCAAUGCAGUCCAAAUAACCCACCAAAGGACUGUAAAGAAAUAAAGUCAUUGUUUUAA